RNAcentral lists this ribosomal RNA (754 nucleotides) under Bacillus sp. RS-10. RNAcentral's name for it is "bacterial SSU rRNA". It matches the Rfam family "Bacterial small subunit ribosomal RNA", at positions 21 to 756 of the family's 1533-position model. Lineage: Bacteria; Bacillati; Bacillota; Bacilli; Caryophanales; Bacillaceae. The record is from RNAcentral.
GGCUCAGGAUGAACGCUGGCGGCGUGCCUAAUACAUGCAAGUCGAGCGAACUGAUUAGAAGCUUGCUUCUAUGACGUUAGCGGCGGACGGGUGAGUAACACGUGGGCAACCUGCCUGUAAGACUGGGAUAACUUCGGGAAACCGAAGCUAAUACCGGAUAGGAUCUUCUCCUUCAUGGGAGAUGAUUGAAAGAUGGUUUCGGCUAUCACUUACAGAUGGGCCCGCGGUGCAUUAGCUAGUUGGUGAGGUAACGGCUCACCAAGGCAACGAUGCAUAGCCGACCUGAGAGGGUGAUCGGCCACACUGGGACUGAGACACGGCCCAGACUCCUACGGGAGGCAGCAGUAGGGAAUCUUCCGCAAUGGACGAAAGUCUGACGGAGCAACGCCGCGUGAGUGAUGAAGGCUUUCGGGUCGUAAAACUCUGUUGUUAGGGAAGAACAAGUACGAGAGUAACUGCUCGUACCUUGACGGUACCUAACCAGAAAGCCACGGCUAACUACGUGCCAGCAGCCGCGGUAAUACGUAGGUGGCAAGCGUUAUCCGGAAUUAUUGGGCGUAAAGCGCGCGCAGGCGGUUUCUUAAGUCUGAUGUGAAAGCCCACGGCUCAACCGUGGAGGGUCAUUGGAAACUGGGGAACUUGAGUGCAGAAGAGAAAAGCGGAAUUCCACGUGUAGCGGUGAAAUGCGUAGAGAUGUGGAGGAACACCAGUGGCGAAGGCGGCUUUUUGGUCUGUAACUGACGCUGAGGCGCAA